This 644-nucleotide ribosomal RNA is filed under the name uncultured Streptomyces sp. RNAcentral's name for it is "bacterial SSU rRNA". It matches the Rfam family "Bacterial small subunit ribosomal RNA", at positions 232 to 886 of the family's 1533-position model. Lineage: Bacteria; Bacillati; Actinomycetota; Actinomycetes; Kitasatosporales; Streptomycetaceae. The record is from RNAcentral.
CGCGGCCUAUCAGCUUGUUGGUGGGGUGAUGGCCUACCAAGGCGACGACGGGUAGCCGGCCUGAGAGGGCGACCGGCCACACUGGGACUGAGACACGGCCCAGACUCCUACGGGAGGCAGCAGUGGGGAAUAUUGCACAAUGGGCGCAAGCCUGAUGCAGCGACGCCGCGUGAGGGAUGACGGCCUUCGGGUUGUAAACCUCUUUCAGCAGGGAAGAAGCGCGAGUGACGGUACCUGCAGAAGAAGCACCGGCUAACUACGUGCCAGCAGCCGCGGUAAUACGUAGGGUGCGAGCGUUGUCCGGAAUUAUUGGGCGUAAAGAGCUCGUAGGCGGCCUGUCGCGUCGGAUGUGAAAGCCCGGGGCUUAACCCCGGGUCUGCAUUCGAUACGGGCAGGCUAGAGUUCGGCAGGGGAGAUUGGAAUUCCUGGUGUAGCGGUGAAAUGCGCAGAUAUCAGGAGGAACACCGGUGGCGAAGGCGGAUCUCUGGGCCGAUACUGACGCUGAGGAGCGAAAGCGUGGGGAGCGAACAGGAUUAGAUACCCUGGUAGUCCACGCCGUAAACGUUGGGCACUAGGUGUGGGCGGCAUUCCACGUCGUCCGUGCCGCAGCUAACGCAUUAAGUGCCCCGCCUGGGGAGUACGGA